Bos taurus (domestic cattle) is the source of this 1279-nucleotide long non-coding RNA. The record is from Ensembl. NCBI's taxonomy places the organism in Eukaryota, Metazoa, Chordata, Mammalia, Artiodactyla, Bovidae.
CUUCUGGGUCCUCAUUGUAAAUUCUUAGUAGAAUCUGCUUGGUUCAGCUUGGAUCAUAUUUGUUCCUUGAGCCAUUCACCUGUAGCCAGGAAGGUUAGGAUCAUAUAGUGAUAUCAGAGUUGCAGAGACCCACCCCUUUGGGUUUUCAGAGAAGGAGAUCAUGAAGGACCCAAGAGGCUAUGAAAUUUGGUUGUGGAAAGCUCUUCCUGAAGGCAAUGCUGUUGGGGAAUGGGGGGCAUCUAGCAGGACCAGAGACAGAUGAAUUUGGGGCUGUUGCACCUAGGCAAAAAAAUAGGCUCCUGCACUAAGUAGUGACUAUUGGAUGGAGAGCUGAAGAAGGAAAAAUUAGGAGGGAGAACCAACCAACUACCUUUGGUGACUGAUUUGAUGGGGGAGAUGAGACUGGGUUUAGGUAAGAGGACAGGAAAACUGGUUAACAAGAUGGUGAUUUUGAGGUGCCUGUGGAACAACUAAGAAGAUGUGUCCCAUGGGCAGUUGUGGGCAGUUAGAGCUUAAAAGAGUGAUCUGGGUCGGAGUGAGGUGGUGGUUCCAGCUGGGAAUGAGGAUAAGAUAAUCAGGGAGAAUGUGUGGAGUGAGAAGCCAGAACCCAGGGAGGGCUACUAAUGGAUAAGGGGCAGUCAAUUAGGAGUCUGAACAGGUGUGAUUGAAGAGUUGAGAACUAGCAUGGAGUGCUGUCAUGGAAAUCAGCAGAGAGUAUUGUCAGGAAAGUUGACGGGAAAUGCUGCAGACAGAUCCAAUGACACAGAGCCUGGAGAGAAUCUUUUCAACCUAGCAGCAAGAUUCAGAGAGGACCUCUUGGCUGGCUUAUGGAGAGGAAGAAGACAAAGUGAGAGAGAAGACAAAAGAGAAUGAGCAAUGGAGACAGAGUUAGCUGGAGAGUAGAUACAGAAGCUGGAGCAGGAGCAGCCACCCUGGAACUUCGGGCUACUAUGGACAGAGUCACAUGAUGAAAUGAGUCCUUAAUGGCAUGGAGUGCUAUACCUGCUCUGGACCAACCUCCAGACUAUAUAUGAGAGAGAGAGUAACUUUUAUCUUGUUUGAUUCUUCAUUACUUUGGAUUUUUGUCAGUCAAACUCACCUAAUCUCAACUAAUAAGUCUAGGUAAUGGCCAUUAUCCCACUUCCAGGUAAGAAAAAUGAGGCUCAGAGGUGCCAAGUAGCCCAGAGUGGCUACUUUUGUCCAACACCAAAGCCUCUGAGUUUUGUAUUACACUGAGUCUAAACUACCAUACAAAUUAAAAGUUAAGACAGGUCUGUAG